GAUGAAGAACGCAGCGAAAUGCGAUACGUAGUGUGAAUUGCAGAAUUCAGUGAAUCAUCGAAUCUUUGAACGCACAUUGCACCUCUCGGUAUUCCGGGAGGUAUGCCUGUUCGAGCGUCAUUUGUACCCUCAAGCUCUGCUUGGUGUUGGGUGUUUGUUCCGCCUCUGUGUGUGAACUCGCCUCAAAACAAUUGGCAGCCGGCGUACUUGUUUCGGAGCGCAGCACAUUUUGCGAUCCAGAUCAACGUACAGCGGCAUCCAAGAAGCCUUAUUUAACGCUCUUGACCUCGGAUCAGGUAGGGAUACCCGCUGAACUUAAGCAUAUCAAUAAGCGGAGGGA
Molecule: unclassified non-coding RNA, 340 nt
Filed under: soil metagenome
Description: partial contains 5.8S ribosomal RNA, internal transcribed spacer 2, and large subunit ribosomal RNA
Rfam family: 5.8S ribosomal RNA (bases 1-120)
Source: RNAcentral